AAGAAAGGCAGCCUGAGGUUCCAGGAGUCAAGGAGAAGAUCCACUGCCUGGUUCUUUUUUCCCAUGAGGAAAGGAACUGAUAAGUGGGGAAUUCUGAGGUCCAACUUUGAUCCAUAACUUAUUAUGAGAGGUUCAACUGAUCAGCAGGAACUGGAGUAAGGAAUACAUGGCAGAAAUCCAGGACCUAGGAAUCGUUAAAUAGCCAGAAAUGCAGUCCAGGUGAAAGUGUCACAUGGGAGAUACCUAGAAGGACAAAGAUCAUGAAAUAGAUGGAAAUAACCACUUUGAUU
Molecule: long non-coding RNA, 290 nt
Organism: Sapajus apella (tufted capuchin)
Lineage: Eukaryota; Metazoa; Chordata; Mammalia; Primates; Cebidae
Exons: 3
Source: RefSeq, a predicted model, not a curated record